GUCGACUAGAGUUUGAUCCUGGCUCAGAUUGAACGCUGGCGGGAUGCUUUACACAUGCAAGUCGGACGGCAGCACGGACUUCGGUCUGGUGGCGAGUGGCGAACGGGUGAGUAAUGUAUCGGAACGUGCCCAGUAGCGGGGGAUAACUACGCGAAAGCGUGGCUAAUACCGCAUACGCCCUACGGGGGAAAGCGGGGGACCUUCGGGCCUCGCACUAUUGGAGCGGCCGAUAUCGGAUUAGCUAGUUGGUGGGGUAACGGCUCACCAAGGCAACGAUCCGUAGCUGGUUUGAGAGGACGACCAGCCACACUGGGACUGAGACACGGCCCAGACUCCUACGGGAGGCAGCAGUGGGGAAUUUUGGACAAUGGGGGAAACCCUGAUCCAGCCAUCCCGCGUGUAUGAUGAAGGCCUUCGGGUUGUAAAGUACUUUUGGCAGAGAAGAAAAGGCAUCCCCUAAUACGGGAUGCUGCUGACGGUAUCUGCAGAAUAAGCACCGGCUAACUAC
Molecule: ribosomal RNA, 508 nt
Filed under: uncultured bacterium
Lineage: Bacteria
Description: bacterial SSU rRNA
Rfam family: Bacterial small subunit ribosomal RNA
Source: RNAcentral